UGUCAGGAGUUAUGAAAUGCCGGUGGGGGAAAUCCUGUCGGUUUGACAAAGGCCUAGGAGGAAGCCACGGCUAACUUCGUGCCAGCAGCCGCGGUAAUACGAAGGUGGCAAGCGUUGUUCGGAAUCACUGGGCAUAAAGGGCGUGUAGGCGGUCCGGUAAGUUGGUAGUGAAAGCCCCCGGCUCAACCGGGGAAGUGCUACCGAUACUGCCGAACUCGAGUGCAGGAGGGGAGAGUGGAACUUCUGGUA
Molecule: ribosomal RNA, 249 nt
Filed under: uncultured anaerobic ammonium-oxidizing bacterium
Lineage: Bacteria
Description: partial 16S ribosomal RNA
Rfam family: Bacterial small subunit ribosomal RNA
Source: RNAcentral